AUCGUAACUCCUACGGGAGGCAGCAGUGGGGAAUUUUGGACAAUGGGGGCAACCCUGAUCUAGCAAUGCCGCGUGAGUGAAGAAGGCCUUCGGGCUGUAAAGCUCUUUUGUCAGGGAAGAAACGGUAGUAGCUAAUAUCUAUUACUAAUGACGGUACCUGAAGAAUAAGCACCGGCUAACUACGUGCCAGCAGCCGCGGUAAUACGUAGGGUGCAAGCGUUAAUCGGAAUUACUGGGCGUAAAGCGUGCGCAGGCGGUUGUGUAAGUCAGAUGUGAAAUCCCCGGGCUCAACCUGGGAAUUGCAUUUGAGACUGCACGGCUAGAGUGUGUCAGAGGGGGGUAGAAUUCCACGUGUAGCAGUGAAAUGCGUAGAUAUGUGGAGGAAUACCGAUGGCGAAGGCAGCCCCCUGGGAAUGUACUGACGCUCAUGUGCGAAAGCGUGGGGAGCAAACAGGAUUAGAAACCCCGGUAGUCCUAGAGC
This 481-nucleotide ribosomal RNA is filed under the name uncultured bacterium. Its description in RNAcentral is "bacterial SSU rRNA". It matches the Rfam family "Bacterial small subunit ribosomal RNA", at positions 329 to 802 of the family's 1533-position model. The record is from RNAcentral.